GGUAGGAUAAAUUUUUAGUCUAGCAGGUUCAUAUUCUGAGGGUUUUCUUAUUAA
Molecule: transfer RNA, 54 nt
Filed under: Metastrongylus salmi
Lineage: Eukaryota; Metazoa; Nematoda; Chromadorea; Rhabditida; Metastrongylidae
Description: tRNA-Met
Source: RNAcentral